GAAUAUAAUGCAGAUGAAAGUAGACUCUUUGACUGCAACAGAAGAUACUGGAUAUGAAACAGAGAUGAGUGACGAGAUUAAUCAGAUCGUUGUUAACGACACAACAGAAAUCUUGAAGGCGUAAAUUAAAAAAUUAAAAGAAGAGCUAAAUAAAAAAAUUAAUCGCUCCUCAGAAUCUCCAAAGGAUUCGUCUCAGCCGGGAUCACCAUCUAACCAUCUGGGCCAUCAGAGUCGCCGAUACCGCAGCCGCUGAUGUCGCAGCCGCCGAUAUUGCAGCCAGAUAGAAAAAUACAGCACGACGCUGGCAGAAAAGUCGGCGCGCACGCGGCGGACGAGGAAGACGUGACGGAAGUGG
This is a long non-coding RNA of Pogonomyrmex barbatus (red harvester ant), 355 nucleotides long. Lineage: Eukaryota; Metazoa; Arthropoda; Insecta; Hymenoptera; Formicidae. The record is from RefSeq and is a predicted model, not a curated record.